GCCGGGCGCGAUGGCUCACGCCUGUAAUCCUAACACUUUGGGAGGCUGAGACAGGUGGAUCUCCUGAGGUCAGGAGUUCAAGACCAGCCUGGCCAACAUGGUGAAACCCUGUCUCUA
Unclassified non-coding RNA from Papio anubis (olive baboon), 117 nucleotides. It matches the Rfam family "Metazoan signal recognition particle RNA". From Rfam's summary of the family: The signal recognition particle (SRP) is a universally conserved ribonucleoprotein. It is involved in the co-translational targeting of proteins to membranes. NCBI's taxonomy places the organism in Eukaryota, Metazoa, Chordata, Mammalia, Primates, Cercopithecidae. The record is from Ensembl.